CAACCUCAACUCAUAUGGGACUACCCCCUGAAUUUAAGCAUAUUAAUUAGGGGAGGAAAAGAAACUAACAAGGAUUUUCUUAGUAGCGGCGAGCGAAAAGAAAACAGUUCAGCACUAAGUCACUUUGUCUAUAUGGCAAAUGUGAGAUGCAGUGUAUGGAGCGUCAAUAUUCUAGUAUGAGAACUUAAUGAUUUAAGUCCUUCUUAAAUGAGGCCAUUUACCCAUAGAGGGUGCCAGGCCCGUAUAACGUUAAUGAUUGCUAGAUGAUGUUUCCAAAGAGUCGUGUUGCUUGAUAGUGCAGCACUAAGUGGGUGGUAAACUCCAUCUAAAACUAAAUAUAACCAUGAGACCGAUAGUAAACAAGUACCGUGAGGGAAAGUUGAAAAGAACUCUGAAUAGAGAGUUAAACAGUACGUGAAACUGCUUAGAGGUUAAGCCCGAUGAACCUGAAUAUCCGUUAUGGAAAAUUCAUCAUUAAAAUUGUAAUAUUUAAAUAAUAUUAUUAAGAAUAAUGUGCAUUUUUUCCAUAUAAGGACAUUGUAAUCUAUUAGCAUAUCCCAAAUUUAUCAUAAAAUAUAACUUAUAGUUUAUUCCAAUUAAAUUGCUUGCAUUUUAACACAGAAUAAAUGUUAUUAAUUUGAUAAAGUGCUGAUAGAUUUAUAUUAUUACAGAGCGUUAAUUUUUCGGAAUUAUAUAAUGGCAUAAUUAUCAUUGAUUUUUGUGUUUAUUAUAUGCUCUUGUAUGAUUAACAAUGCGAAAGAUUCAGGAUACCUUCGGGACCCGUCUUGAAACACGGGACCAAGGAGUCUAACAUAUGUGCAAGUUAUUUGGGAUGUAAACCCUAAUAGCGUAAUUAACUUGGACUAAUAAUGGGAUUAGUUUUUUAGCUAUUUAUAGCUAAUUUAACACAAUCCCCGGGGCGGUUCUAUAUAAGUUAUGUAUAAUGUAUAAUUUAAUCGUAUUUAUGCCUCCUAACUGGAAACGUACCUUUGAAGCAUUAUAUGCUGUGACCCGAAAGAUG
This 1021-nucleotide non-coding RNA is filed under the name Drosophila sechellia. RNAcentral's name for it is "Eukaryotic large subunit ribosomal RNA". It matches the Rfam family "Eukaryotic large subunit ribosomal RNA", at positions 1 to 825 of the family's 3401-position model. Lineage: Eukaryota; Metazoa; Arthropoda; Insecta; Diptera; Drosophilidae. The record is from Rfam by way of RNAcentral.